GGGAGCGUGAUGGAACUGGUAGACAUCCGAGACUUAAAAUCUCGUGGGACUUGUGCCCGUGGGGGUUCGAUUCCCCCCGCUCCCACCA
RNAcentral lists this transfer RNA (88 nucleotides) under Desulfofustis sp. Its description in RNAcentral is "tRNA-Leu". It matches the Rfam family "tRNA". Rfam says of the family: Transfer RNA (tRNA) molecules are approximately 80 nucleotides in length. Their secondary structure includes four short double-helical elements and three loops (D, anti-codon, and T loops). Lineage: Bacteria; Pseudomonadati; Thermodesulfobacteriota; Desulfobulbia; Desulfobulbales; Desulfocapsaceae. RNAcentral also lists the same sequence under 2 other names. The record is from RNAcentral.